GCAGCCAUCAUUUAAAGAAAGCGUAAUAGCUCACUGGUCGAGUCGGCCCGCGCGGAAGAUGUAACGGGGCUAAACCAUGCACCGAAGCUGCGGCAGCGACACAAUGUGUUGUUGGGUAGGGGAGCGUUCUGUAAGCCUGCGAAGGUGUACUGUGAGGUAUGCUGGAGGUAUCAGAAGUGCGAAUGCUGACAUAAGUAACGAUAAUGCGG
This 209-nucleotide ribosomal RNA is filed under the name Proteus mirabilis. Its description in RNAcentral is "partial 23S ribosomal RNA". It matches the Rfam family "Bacterial large subunit ribosomal RNA", at positions 1112 to 1320 of the family's 2925-position model. The record is from RNAcentral. Lineage: Bacteria; Pseudomonadati; Pseudomonadota; Gammaproteobacteria; Enterobacterales; Morganellaceae.